CCUACGGGAGGCAGCAGUGGGGAAUAUUGCGCAAUGGGCGAAAGCCUGACGCAGCGACGCCGCGUGAGGGAUGAAGGUCUUCGGAUCGUAAACCUCUGUCAGCAGGGAAGAACGGUCACUGUGCUAAUCAGCAGUGAAUUGACGGUACCUGCAAAGGAAGCACCGGCUAACUCCGUGCCAGCAGCCGCGGUAAUACGGAGGGUGCGAGCGUUAAUCGGAAUUACUGGGCGUAAAGCGCUCGUAGGCGGUAUGUCAAGUCAAGGGUGAAAUCCCCGCGCUCAACGGGGGAACUGCCUUUGAAACUGGCAAACUGGAGUGUGUGAGAGGAUAGUGGAAUUCCAGGUGUAGGAGUGAAAUGCGUAGAUAUCUGGAGGAACAUCAGUGGCGAAGGCGACUAUCUGGCACAUAACUGACGCUGAGGAGCGAAAGCGUGGGUAGCAAACAGGAUUAGAUACCCUUGUAGUC
Molecule: ribosomal RNA, 465 nt
Filed under: uncultured bacterium
Lineage: Bacteria
Description: partial 16S ribosomal RNA
Rfam family: Bacterial small subunit ribosomal RNA
Source: RNAcentral